AUGGGUGCACGACUCAUCUGCUGGGUAGCGCUUUGCCUUCUCGGGCCAGGCGUUUUUGAUGCUGCAGUUAUUCAAACUCCAGGACAGCUGAUCAAAACGAAAGGACAAAAAGCAAAGAUGAACUGUUACCCUGAAAAGGGCCACAGUGCUGUUUUCUGGUAUCAACAGAAAGAGAGCAAAGAGUUAAAGUUCCUGAUUUACUUUCUGAAUCAAAAGCCUCUUGACCAAAUAGACAUGGUCAAGGAGCGAUUCUCAGCUGAGUGUCCCUCAAGUUCACUCUGCAGCCUGGAAAUAAAGUCUUCUGAAGCAGAGGACUCUGCGCUCUACCUCUGUGCCGGCAGCCAGUCCACAGCACUGAAAUGUGCACUUCCUUCCAUUCAAAAACCCUCCCUGGAGCCAAUUUAA
Molecule: non-coding RNA, 405 nt
Organism: Acomys russatus (golden spiny mouse)
Lineage: Eukaryota; Metazoa; Chordata; Mammalia; Rodentia; Muridae
Source: the annotation of a RefSeq genome assembly